UACGUUAAAAAUAUUUUUGAGAAUUCAACUUGCCCUAUUUGUAGAUAAAGUUAUUGUCCGUAAUUUAUUUAGUUUAUAAGUAGUCUUUCGCUUUGCAUUAACCUCGAAAAUUGAUUUACUCGAAUGUCAUACUUAUUUGAUGGCAAUUUGGGAAGUGAUCCCUCGCUUUGGCGAAUUAACAGAUAACAAAAUUGUUUUGGCUCGUCGUGUAACAGAUUCCAGUAGAUUACUCUGAAAUCAAGUACUGAAUACCUCCAUUCUUAUGCAAUACGUUUCUCUGAAAUUCACACCGCACAAAACUUGGCUCAAAGUCGAGCGAUAACCAAAAUAGGGCCAAAUGUAGAGAAUUCGGAAUUCUCUACUUUUCUUUUUGUUACCAACAGGUAUCCUUGCUACAUACUGAGCAGAGAGACGAGGAAAUCGCCUACGAAAACUCAGAGCUCCAAACAACGGAGCAGUCAGGUCAUCGGCUGGGAUCAUUUCAUCAUUUCCAGUCAGUUAUAAAGCAUGGCAAUCAAUUCUACAUCGAGGGAACAAAUUCUGGCCAUGGAGCUCUCUAGCCGAGAACUUUCCCUAAAGAUAGCCGAAUGUUCUAUCUACGCAGUUCUCAUCCUUGUGGCUUUCUUUGGAAACUUUAUGGUUUUCUUGGCAAUCAUAAAAAACUCGAAACUGCGAACGGUACCAAACUAUUACAUUGCCUCACUCUCGAUCGCAGACAUGCUGAUGUCACUGAAAAUGCCGCUGACCUUGGUCACGUUGAUAGCGGGGGACUUGGUAUUUGGGGAAGCCAUCUGUCAAUAUCAUGGCUAUACUGGCUCUGUGCUUGGUGUCGCGUCGCUGCUGACAAUCACACUCACAGCCGUCAACCGAUACGUUAGAAUUGUUCGAGUAACAGAUUAUCCGAAAUACUUCAGCUCUAAAAAUGCUUUGCGAAGUAUCGUUGCAGCGUGGGCACUGGCUAUCAUAACGCCUAUCCCUUACCUUGCAACUGGACACCGAUUCGUAUUUCUCCCUGGAAAAGCGUUUUGUUUUUAUGACCUGGACGACCUUAACAUUUAUUACGCCGUCACGACUAUUAUCGGCUUCUCGGUGCUUCCAUUUGGGGUGACCGCAGUAUGCUAUUACAAGGUUUUCCGCACAGUAAGACAGCAUAAUAGCAUAUGGGGAAAACUGUUGAGACGAAUGAGUGCUCCAGGAGCUAGAAAGUUCGGCGUGAACGAGGUGAAACUAGCUAAACUUCUUUUCGUCAUUUUGCUGAGCUUCGCUGCUUGUUGGACGCCAUUUGUAAUCAUAGACACCGUAGGAGCUUUCAAGGGACAAUUCUAUUUUCCGAGAUACGUUUAUCUGAUUUACACCGUGUCUGUAGGACUCUCGUCCUGCAUUAACCCUGUCAUAUACGGUGCCAUGAACCAGGAAUUCAGAUCAGAAUUUAAGAGGAUAUUGACGUUUAGCUGCUGUAGGUUUUCGCUUCCGAAGAAACACGUUCAAGCUAAAUAUGUUGUUGAUAUUAAGGUGCAGAGGAAUGAACACAUAUAACUUACCGUAGAUACACGUUAGAUGUGAAUCGGAGAAGAAAAUAUCACCAGAAGCAGAGCUGAUCAGACCCGAGAACAAAUGGAAUACAUUUGCUAGGAAGGGCAAUAGAACAAACCUUCGCUCCUUGCACAGGUUUUUUGGACGUGGGUCCACUACUGCGUGCAUAAGAAGUCUUCACAUGG
Pocillopora damicornis (cauliflower coral) is the source of this 1718-nucleotide RNA transcript. It is a transcript of the gene named melatonin receptor type 1C, with no coding region annotated. The record is from RefSeq and is a predicted model, not a curated record. Lineage: Eukaryota; Metazoa; Cnidaria; Anthozoa; Scleractinia; Pocilloporidae.